RNAcentral lists this ribosomal RNA (300 nucleotides) under uncultured Georgfuchsia sp. RNAcentral's name for it is "bacterial SSU rRNA". It matches the Rfam family "Bacterial small subunit ribosomal RNA", at positions 496 to 795 of the family's 1533-position model. Lineage: Bacteria; Pseudomonadati; Pseudomonadota; Betaproteobacteria; Nitrosomonadales; Sterolibacteriaceae. The record is from RNAcentral.
GCUAACUACGUGCCAGCAGCCGCGGUAAUACGUAGGGUGCGAGCGUUAAUCGGAAUUACUGGGCGUAAAGCGUGCGCAGGCGGUUUUGUAAGACAGGUGUGAAAUCCCCGGGCUUAACCUGGGAACUGCGCUUGUGACUGCAAGACUCGAGUACGGCAGAGGGGGGUGGAAUUCCACGUGUAGCAGUGAAAUGCGUAGAGAUGUGGAGGAACACCGAUGGCGAAGGCAGCCCCCUGGGUCGAUACUGACGCUCAUGCACGAAAGCGUGGGGAGCAAACAGGAUUAGAUACCCCUGUAGUC